RNAcentral lists this unclassified non-coding RNA (2217 nucleotides) under Gigantopelta aegis. RNAcentral describes it as "segment polarity protein dishevelled homolog DVL-3- like, transcript variant X3". Lineage: Eukaryota; Metazoa; Mollusca; Gastropoda; Neomphalida; Peltospiridae. The record is from RNAcentral.
UUAGACGCCAUUUUUGUGUUAGCGAAAGAGGGAUUCCCAAAGAUUGUAUCUACUGUAUCACAUCCUCCGGGAUGGGGGAGACAAAAAUCAUCUAUCACAUAGAUGAUGAAGACACUCCGUACCUUAUUAAACUGCCAGUGCCCGCUGAUCGGGUAACACUGGGCGACUUUAAGAAUGCCUUGAACAGGCCGAAUUUCAAAUUCUUUUUUAAGUCUAUGGACGAUGACUUUGGAGUUGUAAAAGAAGAAAUAAUUGACGAUGAAGCUCAUUUGCCAUGCUUUAAUGGGAGAGUGGUUUCUUGGCUGGUUCCAGCCGACAACAGUGCUUCAGACACGCAGUCGCAGUGCACAGACUCGCAGGCCGGGGACGUAGUGCAGCUUCCGUCUGAGCGUGUCGGCGGCAUCGGCGACAGUCGGCCUCCUUCCUUUCAUGCAAAUGCAUCUGUAGUCAGUAGAGAUGAAGCUUGUGACACGUGCACAGAAGCCGAUUCUGUCCUUGGUGCUAGACGAGACCGCCACACGCAAAGUCGCGUGUCUCACCACACAAACCCUAGUCAAAUGCGAGACCGGCAUAAUAAUGGUCCAAGAAUUAAUGGUCAUGCGAAACAUGACCGGCACAGGGACCUGCGGGUUCAGGGUCCAAACACGUACGAAACGUCCACAAUGGUGUCCAGUGACCUCGAGUCAACCAGCUUCUUUGACUCGGAAGAUGACAGUCGAUUUUCCACGGUAACAGACACCACAAGCAUGUCUUCUAAAUAUCACGGUCGUCAUCGAAGACGGAGAAGACGGCACCGGCCACCCCCAAUUAGUAGAGCAUCUUCUUUUAGCAGUAUAACAGAUUCUACGAUGUCUCUUAAUAUUAUUACAGUGACCUUAAAUAUGGAUACUGUGAACUUUCUAGGAAUCAGUAUUGUCGGCCAGAGCAACAAAGGCGGUGAUGGUGGUAUUUAUGUCGGGUCUAUAAUGAAAGGUGGGGCUGUUGCCCAGGACGGCCGGGUGGAGCCGGGAGACAUGAUUCUGGAGGUGAAUGGUAUCAGCUUUGAAAACAUGAGUAAUGAUGACGCGGUGCGCACAUUACGAGAGGCAGUCCAAAAGCCAGGUCCAAUCACGCUAGUAGUUGCAAAGUGCUGGGACCCCAACCCAAAAGGUUAUUUUACAGUUCCGAGACAGGAGCCGGUGCGACCCAUAGACCCGUCAGCAUGGGUGGCACACACGACGGCCAUGCGGGAACACUACAUGGGCCGCGGCGGCCCCAGCAUCGGAACGUCGCUCACCAACAUGACGUCCACCAGCUCCUCUUUAACUAGUUCUAUACCAGAGUCAGAACGAUUUGACGACCUAAAUCUUACUGUCAACACAGACAUGGUGACGGUUGUCAAGGCGAUGGCUCAGCCAGAUUCGGGAUUGGAAAUCCGGGACCGAAUGUGGUUAAAAAUUACAAUACCAAAUGCUUUUAUAGGUUCAGAUUUAGUAGACUGGUUAUUCACACAUGUGGACGGGUUUACUGAUCGGAGGGACGCGAGAAAAUAUGCAUGCAAUCUUUUAAAAGUGGGCUACAUCCGCCACACAGUCAAUAAACUCACAUUUUCAGAACAGUGCUACUACGUCUUCGGCGAUCUUGGUGGAAAUGGUCCUCCCCAAUAUCCAGAUCUAACAUCAUUAAGCCUCGAAGACGUGGAUUCGGUAUCGGAGGCGGACCGGGAUACGUUGGCACCACUGCCGCCCCCUACCUGGAACAACCAGUACCCUUACAGCAGUCUGAACUACCUGCCCCAGCAUCUCAACUACAUACCCCCUUACAAUUAUACCAGUACGGACAAUGCUAGUUUUGUGGGAUCGUUCGUGGACGGUGCCCCGGUGCCGACACCGAUGCCGAUGCCAGCGUCGUCUGGUAUCGGGGGCGGUAACGGCAGUGCUGGGAGUACGCACAGUGCUUCAGUUGCAUGCAGCAAUCGAAUGGCAAAGAAUGGGACAUCGUUUGCGUUUAAAGUGGCUUGAUUGUGGUGUUGUGCCUUCUUUUUGUGUUACUGUCUUCCAUCGUGUUAUCAAGUAGCAUGCACAUGCCUGUAUAUUCACCGCAUGCACACGGAAGUAGUGCGUCAGGUGGCAGUAAGAAGGAGAAGGACAAGCUGGACCGCAAGUCUUCGAGUCCUAUGGGCAGCGGUGGCAGCGACACCGACUCGGCAAGCAUCGCCAGUGCGAGACGAGUGCCCCC